Molecule: ribosomal RNA, 268 nt
Filed under: uncultured bacterium
Lineage: Bacteria
Description: partial small subunit ribosomal RNA
Rfam family: Bacterial small subunit ribosomal RNA
Source: RNAcentral
AGAGCGAACGCUGGCGGCGUGCUUAACACAUGCAAGUCGAGUGCGCGCCUGUAGCAAUACAGGUGGCGCACGGCGCACGGGUGCGUAACACGUGGGUAAUCUGCCCUUCGAUGGGGAAUAACUCCGGGAAACCGAAGCUAAUUCCGCAUAACAUUCCUUGGACCUCGGUCUGGGGAUUCAAAGCCGUAAGGCGUCGGAGGAGGAACCCGCGCACGAUUAGUUAGUUGGCAGGGUAACGGCCGUACCAAGACUUUGAUCGUUAGCUGGU